This is a long non-coding RNA of Felis catus (domestic cat), 4562 nucleotides long. RefSeq lists it as uncharacterized. The transcript is spliced from 5 exons. Lineage: Eukaryota; Metazoa; Chordata; Mammalia; Carnivora; Felidae. The record is from RefSeq and is a predicted model, not a curated record.
CCCCGAUGCGGGGCUCGAACCCUCGAACUGCGAGAUUACGACCUGAGCUGAAGUCAGACGCUCAAUCGACUGAGCCACCCAGACGCCCCAGUGUGAUGUUUUUAAAAGUCGAAAUGCCCAAACGUCCAUAGGGAACGAAGCGUCGCGAGCGUAAAUGAAGGCUGCAUCAGCGCGAGGGACUCUCCCUUCGCCUCAGGCUUCGGGAUGGCUCGGCCCAGCACUGGAAAAUGUGCUGCCUUCUGCUGUCUUAUGCUUCAGUAUUCUUCCCGCCUGCAGUUUGCAGCGCAAUCCAGGGGUGGUUUCUCCCGUGGAAGGCUGAAACAGGAAGAAUGAGAACAGAGACAGGACAGGUAUUGCGUCUCGUAGAAUAUAUUGGGCCCCACAUGAUUUCUUCCCUUUCACUGGUUCCAUUCCCCUAAAGCCUCAUAAAGCACAACCUGUGCGCCUUGCUGUCUCCAUCACAGGAGUGGCACCAGGUAGACACGAUGUCCUCGCGGUGACCGUGGAUGCGCCGUAGUGUGACAUGUGAAACAUAGUCGCUCGGCUGUGUGGCAGCCUCUCGCCUGUGGUCUCGGGGCUGCAGGAGACGCUGAGUGUCUGCGGAUGAUACUAAGAAGACUUGUGAGUCAACAGAGGCCCCACGGCAGCCAUACAGUUAACACAAAGCUGUGACCGUCCGGUAGUGUUACAUUCGGCACAACCGCCUGAGCCACUAAGUAGAGUCCAGCGUUGCCUCUUGAGAUGAUGCCGAUUGACAUGUACGGACACACUGCUGGAAGAUCACUUCAGGGCUGAUGUGAAAAUGGCCAAGAGAGAUUUCAAAGAAAUACCAUUGAAAGAAAGGGCAUGUUCGUGGAGAGGAAAAUGCGGGUCCUCUCGUCCUGCUGGGCGCUGAGUAUCCCAGAGCCAUUUUGUGGUUGGCUGGGCAAGUUUUCCUGAAAGAUCAAAGAGAGGACAGCUCAACCCUUAGUAGCUCCCGGAAUUUUCCUCGGAGUCGACUUUCUUCUUAAUCUUUGGGAAUCACGGAUACAGAAUUCAGUGUGCUUGCAUAAAAUUUGCGUGUCGUUUUCCCUGUCAACGGGUGUGAGGACAGACGUCACCGGGCAGCGAAAUCCACAGACUCCCUGGUUUCGCUGACCCCGUGUGCAUCUGCGAGUCCCUGCCGUGUGAGUCAGCUGGGCCUUUUUGGUUUUUAACAACUGGCCAAAGGUCAUAGCUAGGUGGGACUCUCCUGGGGGCCAGCUCAGAGGCAUUGCUGUGCUGCUCAGAGAUGACAAAAAAUUCAAGGUGCCAGGAAGCCAAGAAGACACCCCCUCUCCCCACCUCCUUCUGUGUAGCCCCAGACCCUGCUCUGCCAAGUGUGCUCUGGGACCAGCAACGUUAGCAACUCCCGGGAGCCUGCAAGACUUGUAGACUCUCAGACCCCACUCCAGACCUCCUGAGGCACACUCUCCGUUUGUGACUAGACCCCUGAUGAUUCCGAUACACGCAAGAGUUCGAGAACAUAGCACCCACGAGCCUGGGCUUUCAAAGCCGUCCUCGUGACCAGGAGGAGAUACUGGAUACAUACGCGAAGCAGAGAACAUUUCAUGGAUUGUGCUGUCCCUCCCUUUCUCUUUCGGGAAGGACUUGUUGGCUAAGAACACCUGCUGGUCUGGACUUCUUCCUUCUCUCCGUGCCCACUGCUCGGAUAAGAAGCUUCUCUAGCCUCCUGCUAGUGAUUCAUCAUCCAGGAGUGAUUGAAGAGAUCACAGAUGGUAGGAGGAGCAGUUGUGUGCUGCUAACCAUAGAGGUCUCCCCUGUCUACAGAAACCUAAUUGAACAGUUUUGUUUCCUGUUCCCGUAUCAAAGAUGACUGUAUCAUCCUUCCACGUGACAGGACGUGCAAGUAGGAAAUGUUCAGCAUGUUAUUUGCAUCACCUCAUGGAGUUCCUGUUCAUGGUGCAGACUUUGUGAACAAAUCCCACAGGACCCUCAAUCUGUCCAGGUGUCAGGCCGACUGCGGUGAUGAAGAAUGGUAUUGCAGGUCCCGUCUGAAGAUAGCAAGCCCUCACACUGAUGAAAAAUCUCCAUAGACAUUCUAUCGUUUUAUUUCAAAGCAGGGGAGACGAAUCUGUGUGUAGCAGAGAAACAUUGAUUUUAAUGUCCAGUUUCAAGAGAUUGUCAAUUAACAAAUAGAAACGUUUGUUUUGAAAGCUGUAAGUCACAGUUUUCCUCUGCACAUGGGACAAGUCCCUUGCGUGUGACAAUACCCUGAUGCUGUGAUAGUAGGUCUCAGUCCAUUUAUGCUGCCAGAACCAAAUGCCACGGACUGGGUGGUGCCUACACCACAGAAGUUCAUUGCUCACAGCUCUGGAGGCUGGAAGGUCCACUGUCAGGACAUCAGCACGGCUGGGUUCUGGCGAAGACCCUCCUCCGGGCUGCAGGCUGCAGACUCCUUGCCAUGUCCUCCCGCGGUGGAAGGGACACGCUAGCUCGCUGGGGUUGCUGCAAAAAGGCAGAACCUUCAUGAUCUAACCACACCCCCCCAGAGCCCCAUCACCUUUGGGGUUAGAAUUCCCACAGAAGAGUUUUGGGGAGAUGCGAAUAUUCGGACCCUAGCAAGGUGUGAGGGUGAACAAGAGCCAGAGGGGGUGACUCGGCCCAUCAUUGUGUAAGAGGAACCAUUGCACAAGCCCUAGGUUCACAGCCUUGAAGGCCUGCAGGGUGCCACACAGGACCUUGGUGAGAGAGAAGGUCCGUGUCAUUGAGUCUGCUCCCAAUGAGAAGGCUGAUCCUAUGAGGUCCUAAUAGCAAUGAAAAAAAAAAAAAAAAAAUUCUAGAGGCUAAUUGACUCCUAUGAGUUCGAGUUUCCUUCUACCCCAGAAGUAGGCAGACUUUUUCUCUAAAGGGUCAGAUGGAAAAUAUUUUAGUCUUUGUGGGUCAUUUAGUACCUUUUGCGACAACUCGACUCUCCCAUUAGAGCGCAAAAGCCAAAAAGUGAAUGAACGUGACUCUGUUUCAACGGAACAGAGAUCAUACCCUAAACGUAUUUUUUCUAGCCUUUCUUAUGCCUGUACUUCUGGGCACUGGGAUUUGAACUGCACGGAAUUUGCCUACGUCAAGAAAUACUGUUCUUCUUGUGAUUUCUUAAAAUUGCUAACCACUCUUAGCUCAUGAGGCAUACCAAAGGUGUGUCAACCUUGGCUGAAACCGUGCUCCUCACCGUGUGGUCCACAGACCUGUGGCUUCACCCGGAGGCUCAUCAGGAAUGCUGAUUCUCAGGCUCUGUUGCAAACACACUCUGUCAGAGCUAGAAGACUAAAUAUCAGGAAGGCAGGGACCUCGUCUGCUCUAGAUGUAGACCCAACACAGUGCCUUACACACAGUAGCUUCUCAGACAAAUAUUUAUUAAAAGAAUGCCUCCAGGAGUUUGUUCAGGCUCCCCCAUUAUAAACAACUAAAUCUUCUGGGAGUACGUGCUCGAAGGGUUAAAACGAACUUCUGUCAUCAGUCAGAAGUUUUUGCUUGUUGAAGGGCCAGAAAUACGUGUCCCCCUUAGGCUCAUGGUAUAUCCUUCUCCAGGAGGACUUAACCAUGAUGAUUUUUGCCACAUACACAACAGAAGAGUAAACUUAUGUGAACUAAGAGGCUGGAGGUUCUGCAAAAUUAAUACACUGGAUACAAAUCAAGAUGCAAAUAGAUUUUGUGGGUUAUGUUGAAACCGUGGUAAACAUGACGCAGAAGACAGGUGAGAAAAAAAUACGUGUAGAGUAUGAUCUCUUGAACCAAGCACGGAGAGAGAAGAGAUCUCCCCAGGGAAGUCUAAAAAAUCUCUAAGCCUCCUCACCCAGCCUCCCGGGUACUGACUGUUCUUGUUCUGACACAGCUCUUGGGGAGAAUACCCUUCCUUGGGGAAAAGAAGGCUUUUGAGGAACAACACAGAAGAGUGAUGAAGUGUCAUCAAGGCUGGCUUCGUCGGUUGGGAUCUGAGUCAGAAAGGAAAGGCAAGUGGGUAUGUACGAGGGACCCCUGGGAGAGGAGGCUCACUUGUCACGCACACAGUGACACUAACUAAACAUUCCAAGGAGGAAACACGGACAAUUGUGUCUUGUUCUGCUACGAAAUUGCAUUUCCCUGUCAAGAAUAUUAGAUCUCCUGCAAGUUAAUAAAAAUCACAAUAUCAUUAAUUUUAGAGCUGCGGUGUAAUUACAAAUCAUUAGUUCAUCUGCGUCAUAUAUUCUAAGGCCUGGAAAGGUUCAAGAAUGUAUUUAAGCAGCCAGCGCUACAGGUGACGGCCUCCUAGCCUCGUUCCUUGCAUGGAAAGAAUGCUUUCUAAUCAAUAUUCACAGACAAACUUUCAGUAUUUAUGAUAUUAUUAAUUCAGGUUAUAAUGAAUUGCUUCAGACUUCUUAGAUAAAAAGACGUAAUAUCGGGAUUCAGUUUGGAGGCAGUAUACAUUAAGAGGUCAAAGGUUGUCCAUAGGAGUUGUCGUUGUUUUUUUUUUUUUUUUAACAUUUAUUUAUUUUUGAGAGACAGAGCAUGAGCAAGGGAGGGGGAGAGAGAGAGAGGGAGACACAGAA